This 365-nucleotide ribosomal RNA is filed under the name uncultured bacterium. RNAcentral describes it as "bacterial SSU rRNA". It matches the Rfam family "Bacterial small subunit ribosomal RNA", at positions 282 to 659 of the family's 1533-position model. The record is from RNAcentral.
GGUAGCCGGCCUGAGAGGGUGNCCGGCCACACUGGGACUGAGAUACGGCCCAGACUCCUACGGGAGGCAGCAGUGGGGAAUAUUGCACAAUGGGCGCAAGCCUGAUGCAGCGACGCCGCGUGGGGGAUGACGGCCUUCGGGUUGUAAACCUCUUUCAGUAGGGACGAAGCGCAAGUGACGGUACCUACAGAAGAAGGACCGGCCAACUACGUGCCAGCAGCCGCGGUAAUACGUAGGGUCCGAGCGUUGUCCGGAAUUACUGGGCGUAAAGAGCUCGUAGGUGGUUUGUCGCGUUGUUCGUGAAAUCUCACAACUCAAUUGUGAGCGUGCGAGCGAUACGGGCAGACUGGAGUACUGCAGGGGAG